Molecule: ribosomal RNA, 380 nt
Filed under: uncultured eukaryote
Lineage: Eukaryota
Description: partial 18S ribosomal RNA
Rfam family: Eukaryotic small subunit ribosomal RNA
Source: RNAcentral
CAAUAGCGUAUAUUAAAGUUGUUGCGGUUAAAAAGCUCGUAGUUGGAGUUCUGCCAGGUGACGCUCGUCCGCCCAAGUGGUGUGUACAGGGCGUGCAUCUGGCCCUUUCAAGGGGAACGUGUCUGCACUUUACUGUGUGGUGCGAGAUCCUUGACUUUUACUUUGAGGAAAUCAGAGUGUUCCAAGCAGGCUCUCGUCGUGUAUAGCUCAGCAUGGAAUAAUAGCAUUGGACUUCGUUUCUAAGCUGUUGGUUGCAAGAAGCGAGGUAAUGAUGAAGAGGGAUAGUUGGGGGCAUUCGUAUUUAACUGUCAGAGGUGAAGUUCUUGGAUUUGUUAAAGACGGACUACUGCGAAAGCAUCUGCCAUGGAUGUUUNCAUUGA